GGAAGCCGGUGCGAUUCCGGCACUGACCCGCAACCGUGAGCUGCGCCGUUCCGCGGCGGAGCGCAGUCGGACUGCCCGGCCGGAGAC
This 87-nucleotide non-coding RNA is filed under the name Kitasatospora cheerisanensis. RNAcentral also lists the same sequence under 1 other name. The record is from RNAcentral. Lineage: Bacteria; Bacillati; Actinomycetota; Actinomycetes; Kitasatosporales; Streptomycetaceae.